Molecule: ribosomal RNA, 256 nt
Filed under: uncultured bacterium
Lineage: Bacteria
Description: partial 16S ribosomal RNA
Rfam family: Bacterial small subunit ribosomal RNA
Source: RNAcentral
UACGAAGGGGGCUAGCGUUGUUCGGAAUCACUGGGCGUAAAGGGCGCGUAGGCGGCUUUAUAAGUCGGGGGUGAAAGCCUGUGGCUCAACCACAGAAUUGCCUUCGAUACUGUAGAGCUUGAGACCGGAAGAGGUAAGUGGAACUGCGAGUGUAGAGGUGAAAUUCGUAGAUAUUCGCAAGAACACCAGUGGCGAAGGCGGCUCACUGGCCCGGUACUCGACGCUGAGGCACGAAAGCGUGGGGAAGCAAACAGGG